RNAcentral lists this ribosomal RNA (253 nucleotides) under uncultured bacterium. Its description in RNAcentral is "partial 16S ribosomal RNA". It matches the Rfam family "Bacterial small subunit ribosomal RNA", at positions 524 to 776 of the family's 1533-position model. The record is from RNAcentral.
UACGUAGGGGGCAAGCGUUGUCCGGAUUUAUUGGGCGUAAAGAGCGUGUAGGCGGCUUUACAGGUCCGUUGUGAAAACUCGAGGCUCAACCUCGAGACGCCGGUGGAAACCGUAAAGCUAGAGUCCGGAAGAGGAGAGUGGAAUUCCUGGUGUAGCGGUGAAAUGCGCAGAUAUCAGGGGGAACACCCGUGGCGAAAGCGGCUCUCUGGGACGGUACUGACGCUGAGACGCGAAAGCGUGGGGAGCAAACAGG